Molecule: unclassified non-coding RNA, 257 nt
Filed under: plant metagenome
Description: partial contains small subunit ribosomal RNA and internal transcribed spacer 1
Rfam family: Eukaryotic small subunit ribosomal RNA (bases 1-46)
Source: RNAcentral
AAGUCGUAACAAGGUUUCCGUAGGUGAACCUGCGGAAGGAUCAUUACUGAGAUGGGGGGUCCUUCGGGGGCCCGACCUCCAACCCUAAUGGUCUACCGGUCCUUGGUUGCUUCGGCGGCGCCGCUCUCGGUAUGACCCUAGAGAUGGGACAUUUCGAGACCGUCGGCUCCUUUACCGGGGGCUUCGAGUGCCCGCCGGGGGAUUAAGGACACAACUCUUUACGAACCCGAUCUAAUAUUGUUUUAUAAACUUCAAAA